Molecule: long non-coding RNA, 524 nt
Organism: Hyaena hyaena (striped hyena)
Lineage: Eukaryota; Metazoa; Chordata; Mammalia; Carnivora; Hyaenidae
Exons: 3
Source: RefSeq, a predicted model, not a curated record
UGCUGCUCUCAAAGACCCGGCCUCCCGGCCAGAGGCCUCCGGUUUCCAUCCGUGGCACCACAGAGAGCCUGUUUAGAAACAACAACGCUGCCUGGGCUGGACAUGUAAUAGCAUCAUGGGUGCCAUCGACCUCAAAGUGAAGGGCCUCAGGACUCUGACAAAGCCGACAGCAGGAUGCCCUGAACACGCCACAGCGCCUAAUGGAAUCUGCAUGAAAAUUUCAUUUUCUCCACAUAAUGACUGGGUUCUAAAAUAUUCAAUGUUUUACCACCUGGACAUGUGUAACAGAUCUAAUCUGAUAAAGAACUUGUGGAAAGCCUGGAACAGAAUGCCUUUUCCAAGACCACUUCCUGUGUGCCAUGGAAUCAUAGGAUGCCAAAAGCUCACUCUCUAAUUCGACCCAUGCUCUUGCUCUGCAGUGUCUAGAGUGUGAUAAACAGUUAGCCUAUUAGAAAUAUUUGGUAGACCCUGAUGCAGAGAUGGAAAAUAGUUAUCACUUUUAAAAAAUAAAAUUAAGAGGCGCG